This 381-nucleotide ribosomal RNA is filed under the name Triticum aestivum (bread wheat). RNAcentral describes it as "partial small subunit ribosomal RNA". Lineage: Eukaryota; Viridiplantae; Streptophyta; Magnoliopsida; Poales; Poaceae. The record is from RNAcentral.
AUGGACCAAUCCAUCCCUUUUUCUCGUGCAUAUGCAUCGGACUCCGAUGACGAUGGUCCCGAUGAAGAAGUUGAUGAGGAGGGGUUCAUGCCCAAUGAGGCCGAAGCAUUUAAGAAGGUAUUCGGGUGGGAUCAUAAGACACCAUUGUUCAAGGAUCUUAGUCUCGUAGAUGAAGCCGUUGUAGAUGGUGGCAAAUGUAUAUCUCUUGGAGCUAGGCCAAAUUCUCACCGUGAUUUGGAAGACGGCAAGAACGGGAUAUAUCCCGGUUGUGAGUUUCAAUCCUUCUUGGAAUUGAAGAUGUGGCUCGACAACUACUCGGUUACGCAUUAUCGUCCACAUAAAAGCGGCCAAAUCGGACGUCAAAGUGCGUUACACGCUUAA